AAGACAUGCAAGUCGAACGGGACUACUUUUGUAGCAAUACCGAGAGUAGUUUAGUGGCGAACGGGUGCGUAACACGUGGGCAAUCUGCCGAGAAGUGGGGGAUAGCUCGCCGAAAGGCGAAUUAAUACCGCAUAUGAUCAGGGACGACAUCUUCCCACAUCAAAGCCGGGGUAACCUGGCGCUUCUUGAUGAGCCCGCGGCCUAUCAGCUAGUUGGUGAGGUAACGGCUCACCAAGGCUAUGACGGGUAGCUGGUCUGAGAGGACGACCAGUCACACUGGAACUGAGACACGGUCCAGACACCUACGGGUGGCAGCAGUCGAGAAUUUUUCUCAAUGGGGGAAACCCUGAAGGAGCGACGCCGCGUGGAGGAUGAAGGCUUUCGGGUUGUAAACUCCUGUCAUUUGAGAACAAGUGUAGCGAAGUAACUACUCGCUACUUGAUAGUAUCAGAAGAGGAAGAGACGGCUAA
RNAcentral lists this ribosomal RNA (470 nucleotides) under grassland soil clone saf3_223. Its description in RNAcentral is "bacterial SSU rRNA". It matches the Rfam family "Bacterial small subunit ribosomal RNA", at positions 50 to 500 of the family's 1533-position model. The record is from RNAcentral.